UUGAGGAUUUCGAGGAAUCUGUAGAAGAAUCAAAUCAGAGUUGUUCAGAUUAAGGCUGUCGGUUACCAGAUUGGGAGCAUUAAUUGUGGAAAGGCAUCAUUACUGCAGAGAAUUUCGGAGCAUUAAUGAUUUCAUACUCCGAAAUUGGGGGGCAUGUGUUGACACCGUUUUUGGGCACAUGUCCAUAUUGGUAAAGUAAGAUAAGACGGCAGUGCUUGAUCUACAGGAUGAGUUGCCGAUGAGGAUGGUUGCCGUUGGAGGGAUGGUUGAACGUGACCAAGUCUGUAGGUGAUGAUGUGUCUGCGCCGAUGGCUACGACAAGGGAGUCUGCCGAUGAUAUGGAGGGAGAGUCUGGAAGUUGCCGAUCGGUUUGUGGAGGUGUUCCAGUUUGUCAUGGGGGGAUAGUUUUAUGUUUUCCUUAGUUAUUUAAAUCGUUUUGUAUACGGAUUUUGUGUAAUUUGGAAUUUGAGUUUUAGUCGUGUCUGGUUGUACCUCUUUGGGCAGGGUAUAAAUAUGGACCCCAGGGCGUUGUAAUCUAUCUAUCAAUCAAUCAAACACACGUUUUUACUCAUAUUCCAAGCAUCUACUUUUUCGACGACUCCGUCAUACUUUUUCCUUUUUACUACGAGUUCUUAGGAAUUCGUCGACUUAAGCUCGGCGUGUUCUCAAGUUCCGCGUGAAUACCUCUUGGCCGUGACAUCCGAGCGCAUCGCUGUUGUUGGGACCAAAGUAUUCGAGUUACCACCUUUGCCGAUAGUAAGGUCAAAUCGGCUGGCACGCCUUAACGUUUAAAUCGGGUAUUAGCCCUUUGUGUUUGCAGAUCAGCUUUUGCAUCAACAGUCGGUAGUAUCCUGACGGCGAUUAGAAUGUCCUCCAUCUGCUAGUCUUCUUGAUUCUUAAAUUCCGUGGAGCUCAAGUAGACAACAAAGCUUUGUGGAACUGAUUAAGUGUUAGCACAAAUAUCUAGCCUUUAUCAUGUUGAGACUCCUUAGUAAAUAUUACUCCCUAUUUUUAUAUUUUCAUUUUUAUAGAGCAGAAAAAUAUUUAUUUUAUUUUUAUGCCACCACAGUGAAUGUACUUAUGGGUUUUAUGCCACUCGUAUACUCACAUGGGGCUUACUAUUUUUUAACAUUUUUAUUUUCUUUUUAGGAUAGUAUAAAUAUAACUAAUUAAGUAAACUAUUUAAAUAAUUGAAAGGGAAAGGAUAACUACCAAGUUUACCUCAAGGCGUUCGGUGUUUUUAAGUCCUCCGAACGGGACUCUCCGUUUUCUCAAUUGUCCUGGGAUUCGUUGGGUGGCGUAGUCGGUACUUCCGGCGGCGCCUCUUCUUCAUGUAUAGUUAUCUUCUCUUUCCAUACCUGACUCGGUGCUACGGUCUCCUCUAGAUAAUUUUGUUUAAACUGUACGUCUUCUGACCUUACCACUUCUCCUUCAUAGUUUGCCCAUCCGUCCUUGAUGAUCUGCCUCCUCUAGUUGCGGUUGCGUCGUUUUCUGACCUGCUUAGAGUCUUCAAAGAUGUAGUUAGGGUGAGUAAAAUAUCGGCGUACCUUCUCUGAGGGGAAGUGCAUGUGGACUUCUCCAGUUCCAAUGUAGAUGAUUGCUUUAACUGUGCUGAGGAACGGUCUUCCAAGGAUGAUGGGUGGAUCGUAUUCGUCUUCUCCCAUGUCAAUAACCUGAAAGUCUGUGUAGACAAAAUGAUCGUCUAUUUUGACAGGGACAUCAGUUACUGUUCCUUUAACUUCUCGAAACAUCUGAUCUACCAUCUGGAGCUAAAUGUAUGUUGGUCUUAGGGUCAUGGUUCUGAACAAGAGCUGAUAGGUGACUGCGGCCAUUAUGUUGACGCCCGAUCCGGUGUCGCAAGUCGUCUUGUACAAGUUGUAUCCAUUUAUGGAGCAAUAGAUGCUUGGCAUUCCUGGGUCAUCCUUCUUGGUCAAAAAAUGGUGACUUAAGUUGAU
This 1955-nucleotide long non-coding RNA is filed under the name Sorghum bicolor (sorghum). RNAcentral describes it as "long non-coding RNA (SBIC_LNC016250)". Lineage: Eukaryota; Viridiplantae; Streptophyta; Magnoliopsida; Poales; Poaceae. The record is from RNAcentral.